UUUGGUCCCCUCCAACCAGCCA
This 22-nucleotide microRNA is filed under the name Pristionchus pacificus. RNAcentral describes it as "ppc-miR-133-3p". Its record names the gene ppc-miR-133-3p. The record is from miRBase by way of RNAcentral. Lineage: Eukaryota; Metazoa; Nematoda; Chromadorea; Rhabditida; Neodiplogasteridae.